CGACUUGUACUGUGAAACUGCGAAUGGCUCAUUAAAUCAGUUAUGGUUUCUUUGAUGGUACCUUGCUACUUGGAUACCCGUAGUAAUUCUAGAGCUAAUACAUGCAGGAGUGCCCGACUUCGGAAGGGCUGUAUUUAUUAGAUAAGAAACCUUCUCGGGUUCGCCCGGUUGUGUGCUGAGUCAUAAUAACUGCUCGAAUCGCACGGCUCUACGCCGGCGAUGGUUCAUUCAAAUUUCUGCCCUAUCAGCUUUCGAUGGUAGGAUAGAGGCCUACCAUGGCGUUAACGGGUAACGGAGAAUUAGGGUUCGAUUCCGGAGAGGGAGCCUGAGAAAUGGCUACCACAUCCAAGGAAGGCAGCAGGCGCGUAAAUUGCCCGAAUCCUGACACAGGGAGGUAGUGACAAGAAAUAACAAUACAGGGCUACUUCUAGUCUUGUAAUUGGAAUGAGUACAACUUACAUCUCUUCACGAGGAUCAACUGGAGGGCAAGUCUGGUGCCAGCAGCCGCGGUAAUUCCAGCUCCAGAAGCGUAUAUUAAAGUUGUUGCAGUUAAAACGCUCGUAGUCGGGUUUCGGGUCGGGCCGAGCGGUCUGCCGAUGGGUAUGCACUGUUUGGCGCGGCCUUCUUUCCGGAGACCGCGGCUACUCUUAACUGAGCGGGCGUGGGAGACGGAUCGUUUACUUUGAAAAAAUCAGAGUGUUUCAAGCAGGCA
This 712-nucleotide ribosomal RNA is filed under the name uncultured marine Phaeocystaceae. Its description in RNAcentral is "SSU rRNA". It matches the Rfam family "Eukaryotic small subunit ribosomal RNA", at positions 70 to 786 of the family's 1831-position model. The record is from RNAcentral. Lineage: Eukaryota; Haptophyta; Phaeocystales; Phaeocystaceae.